CUACGUGCCAGCAGCCGCGGUAAUACGGAAGGUUCGGGCGUUAUCCGGAUUUAUUGGGUUUAAAGGGAGCGUAGGCCGGAGAUUAAGUGUGUUGUGAAAUGUAGACGCUCAACGUCUGACUUGCAGCGCAUACUGGUUUCCUUGAGUACGCACAACGUUGGCGGAAUUCGUCGUGUAGCGGUGAAAUGCUUAGAUAUGACGAAGAACUCCGAUUGCGAAGGCAGCUGACGGGAGCGCAACUGACGCUGAAGCUCGAAGGUGCGGGUAUCGAACAGGAUUAGAUACCCUGGUAGUCCGCACAGUAAACGAUGGAUGCCCGCUGUUGGUACCUGGUAUCAGCGGCUAAGCGAAAGCAUUAAGCAUCCCACCUGGGGAGUACGCCGGCAACGGUGAAACUCAAAGGAAUUGGCGGGGGCCCGCACAAGCGGAGGAACAUGUGGUUUAAUUCGAUGAUACGCGAGGAACCUUACCCGGGCUUGAA
Molecule: ribosomal RNA, 481 nt
Filed under: uncultured bacterium
Lineage: Bacteria
Description: bacterial SSU rRNA
Rfam family: Bacterial small subunit ribosomal RNA
Source: RNAcentral